UUAAAGGUCCCAUGGCAUGCCAAUUUCACACAACUUAAAAUAGUCCCCUGGUGUGUUAAAAGCAUGUCUGUGACGUCCUUCGGUCAAAAUUCGAUUUGGAUCAAUUAUUUUAGUGCUCUUUUUAUCAGCUAAAAACAGCUCCGCUCAAAAUCCUCCGUUUUGGGCCAUGUCUCUUUAAUGAAAUGAGCUGCACCUAAGCCACGUCCACUUUACACCCAUCUCUCUGGAAGGGGCUGCGGCUGUGCUCCGAUAGCCAUGUGCUAAUGUUUACACUGGCUCGGUCAUGGCUGCAAGAAGAUCGCUCGUACAACCCUACCAGUUUGAGCCAGAGUCUGACCCAGAGGGAGAGGCUCCGGAAGAAACUCUUAGCCGCAUUCAGACCUAGUCGACACAUCCUAUGUAUUAUUCAAAGCCGCCAGGAGGGUCACGCUUAAGGAGGAAGAUAUGAAUGUAGAAAAAAUUACAACCAGAGCUCUGCUACAAUGUAAGAUUUUGGUGCUCUAAAACUUCUCUGAAGCCUUUGCUAAU
Non-coding RNA from Xyrichtys novacula (pearly razorfish), 528 nucleotides. NCBI's taxonomy places the organism in Eukaryota, Metazoa, Chordata, Actinopteri, Labriformes, Labridae. The record is from the annotation of a GenBank genome assembly.